RNAcentral lists this ribosomal RNA (2921 nucleotides) under Acinetobacter baumannii. RNAcentral describes it as "23S ribosomal RNA". It matches the Rfam family "Bacterial large subunit ribosomal RNA". Lineage: Bacteria; Pseudomonadati; Pseudomonadota; Gammaproteobacteria; Moraxellales; Moraxellaceae. The record is from RNAcentral.
GUUGUAUAGUCAAGUAAUUAAGUGCAUGUGGUGGAUGCCUUGGCAGUCAGAGGCGAUGAAAGACGUGAUAGCCUGCGAAAAGCUCCGGGGAGGCGGCAAAUAUCCUUUGAUCCGGAGAUGUCUGAAUGGGGGAACCCACCUACUUUAAGGUAGGUAUUGCAACAUGAAUACAUAGUGUUGCAAGGCGAACGAGGGGAAGUGAAACAUCUCAGUACCCUUAGGAAAAGAAAUCAAUUGAGAUUCCCUCAGUAGCGGCGAGCGAACGGGGAUCAGCCCAUUAAGUUAUGUGUGUUUUAGUGGAACGCUCUGGGAAGUGCGAACGUAGAGGGUGAUAUUCCCGUACACGAAAGGGCACACAUAAUGAUGACGAGUAGGGCGAGGCACGUGAAACCUUGUCUGAAUAUGGGGGGACCAUCCUCCAAGGCUAAAUACUCCUGACUGACCGAUAGUGAACCAGUACCGUGAGGGAAAGGCGAAAAGAACCCCUGUGAGGGGAGUGAAAUAGAUCCUGAAACCGCAUGCAUACAAGCAGUGGGAGCACCUUCGUGGUGUGACUGCGUACCUUUUGUAUAAUGGGUCAGCGACUUAUAUUCAGUAGCGAGGUUAACCGUAUAGGGGAGCCGUAGAGAAAUCGAGUCUUAAUAGGGCGUUUAGUUGCUGGGUAUAGACCCGAAACCAGGCGAUCUAUCCAUGAGCAGGUUGAAGGUUGGGUAACACUAACUGGAGGACCGAACCCACUGUCGUUGAAAAGCCAGGGGAUGACUUGUGGAUAGGGGUGAAAGGCUAAUCAAGCCUGGUGAUAGCUGGUUCUCCCCGAAAGCUAUUUAGGUAGCGCCUCGGACGAAUACCAUAGGGGGUAGAGCACUGUUUCGGCUAGGGGGUCAUCCCGACUUACCAAACCGAUGCAAACUCCGAAUACCUAUGAGUACUAUCCGGGAGACAGACUGCGGGUGCUAACGUCCGUAGUCAAGAGGAAAACAAUCCAGACCGCCAGCUAAGGCCCCAAAAUCAUAGUUAAGUGGGAAACGAUGUGGGAAGGCAUAGACAGCUAGGAGGUUGGCUUAGAAGCAGCCACCCUUUAAAGAAAGCGUAAUAGCUCACUAGUCGAGUCGGCCUGCGCGGAAGAUGUAACGGGGCUAAAACUAUGUGCCGAAGCUGCGGAUGUAUACUUUGUAUACGUGGUAGGGGAGCGUUCUGUAAGCCGAUGAAGGUGUGUUGAGAAGCAUGCUGGAGGUAUCAGAAGUGCGAAUGCUGACGUGAGUAACGACAAAACGGGUGAAAAACCCGUUCGCCGAAAGACCAAGGGUUCCAGUCCAACGUUAAUCGGGGCUGGGUGAGUCGACCCCUAAGGCGAGGCCGAAAGGCGUAGUCGAUGGGAAAAUGGUUAAUAUUCCAUUACUUCUGUGUAAUGCGAUGAGAGGACGGAGAAGGCUAAAUCAGCCUGGCGUUGGUUGUCCAGGUGAAAGGAUGUAGGCAUGUAUCUUAGGCAAAUCCGGGGUACUCUAUGCUGAGAUCUGAUAGCAAGCUGUACUUGUACAGCGAAGUGGUUGAUGCCAUGCUUCCAGGAAAAGUCUCUAAGCUUCAGUUACACAGGAAUCGUACCCGAAACCGACACAGGUGGUCAGGUCGAGUAGACCAAGGCGCUUGAGAGAACUCUGCUGAAGGAACUAGGCAAAAAUGGUACCGUAACUUCGGGAGAAGGUACGCUGUUGUUGGUGAUGGAACUCGCUUCCUGAGCUGACGACAGCCGCAGAAACCAGGCCGCUGCAACUGUUUAUUAAAAAACAUAGCACUCUGCAAACACGAAAGUGGACGUAUAGGGUGUGAUGCCUGCCCGGUGCUGGAAGGUUAAUUGAUGGGGUUAGCGUAAGCGAAGCUCUUGAUCGAAGCCCCAGUAAACGGCGGCCGUAACUAUAACGGUCCUAAGGUAGCGAAAUUCCUUGUCGGGUAAGUUCCGACCUGCACGAAUGGCAUAAUGAUGGCGGCGCUGUCUCCAGCAGAGGCUCAGUGAAAUCGAAAUCGCUGUGAAGAUGCAGUGUACCCGCGGCUAGACGGAAAGACCCCGUGAACCUUUACUGCAGCUUGACACUGAACUUUGACCUUACUUGUGUAGGAUAGGUGGGAGGCUUUGAAGCUGGAACGCUAGUUCCAGUGGAGCCGUCCUUGAAAUACCACCCUGGUAAUGUUGAGGUUCUAACUCUGUCCCGUGAUCCGGGACGAGGACCGUGUCUGGUGGGUAGUUUGACUGGGGCGGUCUCCUCCUAAAGAGUAACGGAGGAGUACGAAGGUGCGCUCAGCGUGGUCGGAAAUCACGCGUAGAGUAUAAAGGCAAAAGCGCGCUUAACUGCGAGACCCACAAGUCGAGCAGGUACGAAAAGUAGGUCUUAGUGAUCCGGUGGUUCUGUAUGGAAGGGCCAUCGCUCAACGGAUAAAAGGUACUCUGGGGAUAACAGGCUGAUACCGCCCAAGAGUUCAUAUCGACGGCGGUGUUUGGCACCUCGAUGUCGGCUCAUCUCAUCCUGGGGCUGAAGCAGGUCCCAAGGGUAUGGCUGUUCGCCAUUUAAAGAGGUACGCGAGCUGGGUUUAGAACGUCGUGAGACAGUUCGGUCCCUAUCUACCGUGGGCGCUGGAAAUUUGAGAGGAUCUGCUCCUAGUACGAGAGGACCAGAGUGGACGAACCUCUGGUGUACCGGUUGUGACGCCAGUCGCAUCGCCGGGUAGCUAUGUUCGGAAGGGAUAACCGCUGAAAGCAUCUAAGCGGGAAGCCUACCUCAAGAUAAGAUUUCCCUAGGACUUUAUGUCCUCUAAAGAGCCGUUCGAGACUAGGACGUUGAUAGGUUGGAUGUGGAAGCAUAGUGAUAUGUGAAGCUGACCAAUACUAAUUGCUCGUGAGGCUUGACUAUACAACACCCAAGCAGUUG